UCCGGGGUAGCUCAAUUGGCAGAGCAGCGGACUGUUAAUCCGUUGGUUGAGAGUUCAAGUCUCUCCCCCGGAG
RNAcentral lists this transfer RNA (73 nucleotides) under Acidimicrobiia bacterium. RNAcentral describes it as "tRNA-Asn". It matches the Rfam family "tRNA". Rfam says of the family: Transfer RNA (tRNA) molecules are approximately 80 nucleotides in length. Their secondary structure includes four short double-helical elements and three loops (D, anti-codon, and T loops). The record is from RNAcentral. Lineage: Bacteria; Bacillati; Actinomycetota; Acidimicrobiia.